UACAGAGGGUGCGAGCGUUAAUCGGAAUUAUUGGGCGUAAAGGGCGCGUAGGCGGCUAGAUGUGUCAAAGGUGAAAUCCCUCGGCUCAACUGAGGAACUGCCUUUGAAACUGUCUGGCUUGAGGCCGGGAGAGGGUAGCGGAAUUCCCAGUGUAGCGGUGAAAUGCGUAGAUAUUGGGAGGAACACCAGUGGCGAAGGCGGCUACCUGGACCGGUUCUGACGCUGAGGCGCGAAAGCGUGGGUAGCAAACAGG
RNAcentral lists this ribosomal RNA (253 nucleotides) under uncultured bacterium. RNAcentral describes it as "partial 16S ribosomal RNA". It matches the Rfam family "Bacterial small subunit ribosomal RNA", at positions 524 to 776 of the family's 1533-position model. The record is from RNAcentral.